This 3511-nucleotide long non-coding RNA is filed under the name Brassica napus (rape). Its description in RNAcentral is "long non-coding RNA (BNAP_LNC004677)". Lineage: Eukaryota; Viridiplantae; Streptophyta; Magnoliopsida; Brassicales; Brassicaceae. The record is from RNAcentral.
UUCUCCCUUGAAAAUUUUUCUAGUGUUGUUAUCAAUGCUGAAUUGAAGAUCGGGAUGCAUUGUAAGAACUGCGCAAAACGUGUCAGAGAAGUAGUUUUCUACUUGAAUGGCAAGAAAUAAGAUUUUUUGUUCACAAUAUACAUUUACUCAGUUGAUGGUAAUUAUAUAGUGUUGACGUUAUAAUAAUCGCUUUAUUGAUAUGUUAUAAUAUAUUAGGAGUUCGACAAUGUGAUGUGCAUCUAGAUACUCAAAAGGUUAUGGUCGCUGGUGAUUUUAAUUUAGAUGAGGUGGUGGAAACUGUUAAGAGAAAACUUGGUAAAAGAGCAGAAGUUUUGACAUCGACUAAGAAAUCUGAUGUAGUUUCAAAUGAAGAUGGUGAAUUUGAAAUAGUUCCAGAAAAAAAUGAAGAAGCUGAAAUAGUUCUGGAGAAGAAUGAAGAACCUAAAUUAAUUCCAGAGAAAAAUGAAGGACCUGAAAUAGUUCUAGAGAAGAAUGAAGAAUCUAAUAUAGGCCUUCAAAAGGAAGCAAAUCCCAAUGGAUGCACUAUCCAGUAAAUCUAGUCGAAACAUGUAAUCACCAUAAAGAACUUGGCAUGGUGAUAUGGACCUUGUCGAUCUUGAGAAGGUUUAAGUGUUUGAUUCACCGUGUUAUAUAUAAUAAGACAAAUGGAACAUGAUUUCUUUUUUAUUACUUCUUUAGUAUUUUUUAUUAAUGAUGCAAUUAGAAGAUUUCAUUGUCAGUAUAGUGUGAUUUAGUUUGAGUGGACAGAAAAGUCAUCAUCAUUAAAAAGCAUUCUAAAAAAAGUGUGGAAAGAAUCUCAUAUAAGAAAUUAUGACAUAUAGUAGAUAAUGUAAGAAUGGUUAGCAAUCAUUAAAGAUGGGUUAUUUUAUUUCGAUGAGUUAUUAUUAAAAUUGAAGCACAAAUAUAGAUUUGUCUAUAUCAAAUAUGAAUUUAGAGGUAAGAGCUAAUUUGUGACUACCAAAACUAUCAAGGGGGUUACACCAAAUGUGAGAUCAGUUGCUCCUAGUAUUUAUGUCAUUGUAUUAGAUAUUUUGAUUUCUCAAUUAAAUAGAUCUAUGAGUAUAACUGAAGAGGGAGAUGGACGAUACAUAGAUAAGAAGAGGUGAAGAGACAAUUGCAUUUCAAAAACUUAUUGCAACUCACAAAACCAAACCUACAAGAGGACAAUGCAUGUGGUACAAAGAAGUGAAACAAUCACGCACACCGGUAGAGACUAUGGUAAUGCAUCAAAAACCGACCAAAAAAUUGUCAACAAUAUAAUAUGUGUCCCAUAAGUCUUGAAGAAAAGAUCAAUUUUAAUCCAUAACAUAACUCAGCUUCCCGAUGAAGCAAUGAUAUUACAAAGAAGGAGAACGUAAAAACACGAUAGUUAGAGAAGUCAUACUGUUGACCUUCCAAUCCGGUUAAACACAAAGAAAAAUCAUGUAAAUAACAUUGAAACUUACGUCAACACAGAAGCACCAUCACCAUCAAUGUAACUAUCAGAUUUGAGCUAAUAGCCUUGAAAUCAAACAUAUCGAAAAAUGAAAAGGUAAAAUUUGAAAGGAUUGGCUUUGAAAGCUGUCAGUCACUGGUCCUUCAAUCAGAGAUGAAAGAAAAAAGAACUUACCGGCUAGUGUUUAUGGAGAGAAAUCCAAUGAAAUAAAAAGAAAAAAAAAAAUCAUGGAAAGUAUAGAGACCUAUUAACUUCGACCACGUGGGUAAGCUCGGCCCGUACAGUAAACCCGAUAACCAUUUCUUUAGCCGGUUCGAUAUCUCCUGAACCUGAUCUAGGAUCCGAAUUUAGACCGGGUCUAAAACCAAUAAUAAUUUCAUCGAAAGAGACCAACGAGGAGUCGAGAGAGACAGAGACAGAGACAACAAUGGCACCUUCGUCGUCGAGCGGUUUGACCUUCAAGCUCCACCCUCUAGUAAUCGUCAACAUAUCGGAUCACUACACCAGGGUUAAGACUCAGCUCAACCCUCCGCCUUCAGUCUGCGCCACCGAGAACAACGGCGAAGCAAUGCUGCAGCCGAACCCUAGGGUUUACGGAUGCGUGAUCGGCGUCCAGAGAGGCCGAACUGUCGAGAUCUUCAACAGCUUCGAGCUUUUGUUCGAUCCUUCCUCUGAAACCCUCGAUAGGUCCUUCCUCGAGAAGAAGCAAGAGCUCUGUAAGCUCUCUCUCUCUCCCUCUCUCUCUUCUUCUUUUGUCUGGGUUUUGAUUGAUUCUUCUUGUUUUUUUUAAUCAGACAAGAAAGUGUUCCCUGACUUCUAUGUUUUGGGAUGGUACUCUACGGGGAAUGACGCUGAGGAGUCUGAUAUGCUUAUCCAUAAAGCCGUGAGUUUUCAAAGUGUUUUUUUUUUUUUUGUAGGAUUAAGAUUUGAUCAGUUAUUUAUUUAUUUAUUUUUUAUUGUUAAAGUUCAACUUUUUCAUAAGAGGUGUUAUACGGUGAGAAGAUUAUUAGAACUAGUGUUUUUUGUUUGGAAUUCGAAUAUGGUGGGUUGCUUCUGGUCAAAGAGAUCACCACCCGUAUAUAAUUCAAAUAGGUACAGUGACUUAUAUCUCUACGUUUUAUGUAAUUUGAAUAAGAGUUUUUAUUACUCUUCUUACAUACUAACUGACACACUUUUCUCCCUUGAAAAUUUUUCUAGUGUUGUUAUCAAUGCUGAAUUGAAGAUCGGGAUGCAUUGUAAGAACUGCGCAAAACGUGUCAGAGAAGUAGUUUUCUACUUGAAUGGCAAGAAAUAAGAUUUUUUGUUCACAAUAUACAUUUACUCAGUUGAUGGUAAUUAUAUAGUGUUGACGUUAUAAUAAUCGCUUUAUUGAUAUGUUAUAAUAUAUUAGGAGUUCGACAAUGUGAUGUGCAUCUAGAUACUCAAAAGGUUAUGGUCGCUGGUGAUUUUAAUUUAGAUGAGGUGGUGGAAACUGUUAAGAGAAAACUUGGUAAAAGAGCAGAAGUUUUGACAUCGACUAAGAAAUCUGAUGUAGUUUCAAAUGAAGAUGGUGAAUUUGAAAUAGUUCCAGAAAAAAAUGAAGAAGCUGAAAUAGUUCUGGAGAAGAAUGAAGAACCUAAAUUAAUUCCAGAGAAAAAUGAAGGACCUGAAAUAGUUCUAGAGAAGAAUGAAGAAUCUAAUAUAGGCCUUCAAAAGGAAGCAAAUCCCAAUGGAUGCACUAUCCAGUAAAUCUAGUCGAAACAUGUAAUCACCAUAAAGAACUUGGCAUGGUGAUAUGGACCUUGUCGAUCUUGAGAAGGUUUAAGUGUUUGAUUCACCGUGUUAUAUAUAAUAAGACAAAUGGAACAUGAUUUCUUUUUUAUUACUUCUUUAGUAUUUUUUAUUAAUGAUGCAAUUAGAAGAUUUCAUUGUCAGUAUAGUGUGAUUUAGUUUGAGUGGACAGAAAAGUCAUCAUCAUUAAAAAGCAUUCUAAAAAAAGUGUGGAAAGAAUCUCAUAUAAGAAAUUAUGACAUAUAGUAGAUAAUGUAAGAAUGGUUAGCAAUCAUUAAAGAUGGG